RNAcentral lists this unclassified non-coding RNA (20 nucleotides) under Mus musculus (house mouse). Its description in RNAcentral is "oocyte_clustered_small_RNA5287". The record is from RNAcentral. Lineage: Eukaryota; Metazoa; Chordata; Mammalia; Rodentia; Muridae.
UCGAGGGGAAAGAAGUCCCA